RNAcentral lists this ribosomal RNA (460 nucleotides) under uncultured bacterium. Its description in RNAcentral is "partial 16S ribosomal RNA". It matches the Rfam family "Bacterial small subunit ribosomal RNA", at positions 338 to 795 of the family's 1533-position model. The record is from RNAcentral.
CCUACGGGUGGCUGCAGUGAGGAAUAUUGGUCAAUGGGCGCGAGCCUGAACCAGCCAAGUAGCGUGAAGGAUGACUGCCUUACGGGUUGUAAACUUCUUUUAUAAAGGAAUAAAGUGAGGCACGUGUGCCUUUUUGUAUGUAUUUUAUGAAUAAGGAUCGUCUAACUCCGUGCCAGCAGCCGCGGUAAUACGGAGGAUCCGAGCGUUAUCCGGAUUUAUUGGGUUUAAAGGGAGCGUAGAUGGGUUGUUAAGUCAGUUGUGAAAGUUUGCGGCUCAACCGUAAAAUUGCAAUUGAUACUGGCAGCCUGUAGUACAGGUGAGGUAGGCGGAAUUCGUGGUGUAGCGGUGAAAUGCUUAGAUAGAACGAAGAACUCCGAUUGCGAAGGCAGCCUACUAAACUGCCACUGACAUUGAGGCUCGAAAGUGUGGGUAUCAAACAGGAUUAGAUACCCGAGUAGUC